AUUGAACGCUGGCGGCAGGCCUAACACAUGCAAGUCGAACGGUAACAGGAAGAAGCUUGCUUCUUUGCUGACGAGUGGCGGACGGGUGAGUAAUGUCUGGGAAACUGCCUGAUGGAGGGGGAUAACUACUGGAAACGGUAGCUAAUACCGCAUAAUGUCGCAAGACCAAAGAGGGGGACCUUCGGGCCUCUUGCCAUCGGAUGUGCCCAGAUGGGAUUAGCUAGUAGGUGGGGUAACGGCUCACCUAGGCGACGAUCCCUAGCUGGUCUGAGAGGAUGACCAGCCACACUGGAACUGAGACACGGUCCAGACUCCUACGGGAGGCAGCAGUGGGGAAUAUUGCACAAUGGGCGCAAGCCUGAUGCAGCGAUGCCGCGUGUAUGAAGAAGGCCUUCGGGUUGUAAAGUACUUUCAGCGGGGAGGAAGGGAGUAAAGUUAAUACCUUUGCUCAUUGACGUUACCCGCAGAAGAGGCACCGGCUAACUCCGUG
This 490-nucleotide ribosomal RNA is filed under the name uncultured bacterium. Its description in RNAcentral is "partial 16S ribosomal RNA". It matches the Rfam family "Bacterial small subunit ribosomal RNA", at positions 30 to 507 of the family's 1533-position model. The record is from RNAcentral.